GGAAAAAGUAUUUCGCUUUUUGUUUGGAGAUGAACGAGACAACACGAGGCACAGCGACAUAAAUAUGACCAACCAGAUCCCAAGUAGACAGGAACAAAUGAAGAUAUAGCGCAUAGAAAGACUUAUUCUUGGUGAUCAACUGCUAUUGACAUUUUUGAAUCGGGGCAAAUGUGGAGUGAAGAAAAACGUUUGCAACACAUCCAUUCCAGAGUGCUCUGACAGAUAAAACUGACACGCUUGAUGAGGACACAGUCAAAGCUUUAAAAGCCCGUGUGAUAAAGCAGUCUUCAAUUACUACGGUGUCUGAAUUGCAAGAAGAAGUCACCCUCCACUUAAACAUGUGACAUCUAAACUGUUUUGUGUUUUAGUUCAGCUUUUUAUAGGUUUAUCUUAAGUUGGUUUAAGGCAGAGUGCACUAUUUUUGAAAGCCAAUGUUAACAUUUGAAAUCACCUAAACAAACAUGCCUCUACCCCAAUAGAAUCUGGACCUUCUUUUGAUAGAGCCACCACACACAUACGCAACCCCGGCAAGGAUGUCAGUUAGUAGACACGCCCCUUACUGCUGGUUGGCUACAAAGUGUGUUUUGGUAGUCGGCCCAAUUUCCUUUUCCAAAGCGUUUUUCAAACAUUGUGCACUCCGUCUUUAAAUUGCACUUAAACAUUUUUUUUUCAUUAACUUUUUAU
Paramisgurnus dabryanus is the source of this 684-nucleotide non-coding RNA. NCBI's taxonomy places the organism in Eukaryota, Metazoa, Chordata, Actinopteri, Cypriniformes, Cobitidae. The record is from RefSeq and is a predicted model, not a curated record.